RNAcentral lists this ribosomal RNA (433 nucleotides) under uncultured bacterium. RNAcentral's name for it is "partial 16S ribosomal RNA". It matches the Rfam family "Bacterial small subunit ribosomal RNA", at positions 29 to 507 of the family's 1533-position model. The record is from RNAcentral.
AACGAACGCUGGCGGCAUGCCUAACACAUGCAAGUCGAACGAGACCUUCGUGUCUAGUGGCGCACGGGUGCGUAACGCGUGGGAACCUGCCCUUAGGUUCGGAAUAACUCCCCGUAAGGGGUGCUAAUACCGGAUAAUGUCUUCGGACCAAAGAUUUAUCGCCUUUGGAUGGGCCCGCGUUGGAUUAGCUAGUUGGUAGGGUAAACGCCUACUAAGGCGACGAUCCAUAGCUGGUCUGAGAGGAUGAUCAGCCACACUGGGACUGAGACACGGCACAGACUCCUACGGGAGGAAGCAGUGGGGAAUAUUGGACAAUGGGAGAAAGACUGAGCAAGCAAUGCCGCGUGAGUGAUGAAGGCCGUAGGGUUGUAAAGCUCUUUUACCAGGGAGGAUAAUGACAGUACAGGGAGAAUAAGCUCCGGCUAACUCAGUG